GCUCUGCUGUCACUCCUGCACUUUCCAUUGUGCUGCAGUUAGAUUAUCUCAUUUCUGGGAGAUACUCCAGUGAGUUUGCUGAACCCCACGGAAUGUUUUUACCACGAUAAUCCAGUAUUUAUAAAGAAGAAACAGUCUUGUAUAUAAGGUCUUCACCCUUUGUAGCUAGUUUUGAGUAACUGCAAAUAUGAAUCUGCCCAGCUAUAAUAUUUUUACAAAUGGAGUGAAGGAGAAGGGGUGAGGAAAAAAUGGAGGAGGAAAAGCCAGUUAUCUCUUAAUGACUUUGGUGCUGGAAAUCAUUCAAAUUACUCUUCCACCUCGUAGAACAAGACCUGAAAAUGGUACUUGGAGCUAAAGACUUAGAUUGGAUUUACGGGGCUUAGCUGGUUGCCAGCAAACUGUCAUGGAGUGAAGUCUAAUUGCAUCCACAAAUGAUGUAUCCCAUCGAUGAGCACCAAGAAGACCCCAGUUCUUCACUCCCAGACUGAUGCCCGGCCUGACCUGCCACUGCAGAGCUAUUCCUGAGCUCAGAUUUACUGUGACUCGCUGUAGAGAACUAAGCCAAACCUGCUGUUUUAUUGGAAAAUCUCCAUUCAGACACAAAUUGAGUUCAAUAAUUGCUCAGCCAACUGUGUUUUUCUUGAACUUGCUACAUCUACUACUUAUAUAGAGUAUUUUAGGAGUUUCUCUCCAGUAGCUGUCUUGUUGGAAGACAAAGCACUGGUCUGUUUGGUAGAUCUUAAGAUAGAAUAAAGCAAGUGCCACCCUGCAGCUGGUUUAUUGGAGGACUUAUGUGGAGCUGAGAAAACACACUGGUACAGAUGUGUUCCUGUUUCUUAGAUUUCAAAACUUCCUAGUUUAAAUUCAUCUUCAAGCUCCACUUUGAUAUCUGCAGAACUUAAAGACAGUAAAAGAAGCACGAGCAUAUAGGACUGAUGCUGCCAGUCAUUUCUGUCUGAGAGCUCAAAUACAGCAGCAUAAGAGCAAGGUACAGUGGAUAAGGAAAGGAAAAUAACUGUUUAUCCCAAAGAUUCUCCUUUCUCUAUUUUAGUGCUUGUCAGCCUGACUAUGUGCCUCCACAAGUCCUGCUGGAGGGCAGCCCUGUUGGCUGGAGCCUUCCUCUACUGAGUGUGUGGGGCCCAUUAAGGAAGUGAAGGACAUCUUUUGAGAGAAGCUUCAUCUUUUUACAUGUUUAAUAUCAUUGCAGAUCUGAGAAGGACAACUGAAUUGGAAAUCUUGUUUCUAGUGCUUUUUUUUUUUUUACCAGUAAUUUUCUCCCCAUUCCUUUACUCUGAUUAAAUUAAUCUGUCAU
RNAcentral lists this long non-coding RNA (1312 nucleotides) under Gallus gallus (chicken). RNAcentral's name for it is "lncRNA (ENSGALG00010029090.1)". Lineage: Eukaryota; Metazoa; Chordata; Aves; Galliformes; Phasianidae. The record is from RNAcentral.